CUAAAAGGGAAUGUUCCUUUUGUAAUGGUUUAAAUUUUCUCAAAGUACUUUAAGAUGGUUUGUAACCCAGCUGGAUGUGAAUUUAUGGUGCCUAAGAAAUACCACUUGAAUAUUAGCAAUGACAGUGUUAAGUUUCAAAAAAGAGCUUCUCAAAGUAGAUUAUUGUUCAUUUAUAGAAUGUUACAUGGUUAAAACCAGAAAGCACAUCACACUUUAGUCUUUAGUCCCAAGUCAACUGAGUCAUAAAACAACUUAAGAGGCUUUUCAUUAAAUGGAAAAAGAAGCUAUGCUCUUUUAGAAUAUGUGAGAAAGUUACCUAAUUAUGUUUGACUAUUAUAAUGGAUUUAAGUGAAAAAUAGUUUGAAAGCAGCUUCAGAGUUGGUGAUUCACAACAAAUCCAAAAGUAUUUUUUAAUUACUGGUGGUAAACAAUGACCUUCUCAGUGUUUUUCAGCAUUGCUGGGGGGUUCUGAACCCUCAGCAGAACUGAGGGGCUAAAGACUUGACCUGUCUUUGAUACACCCAAAUAUGCAGAACUAUCAGAUGGAACCUAAAAGAGCACCUCCUUUCUCUUUGGGGGGUGGGGGCGUGGCCAUCCCAAAAGGAGAAUUAACAUGAGUGUUUGAAGAGCUUCAUAAUAAGCAUAGGAAGAGCUCUGAGCAAGCACACACAGGAAAGCCAGCCUUACUUUAGGAUUUGAGGGGUAGACAGGAGGAAAUGAACAAUUUCAUUUUUACUUGUUCUAUCAUUAGUUCCCCCUUUUAAAUACCCUAAAACUACUUCAUCAUGAAAUGAACAACAAUGUGAUACGCUGAUCUGUCCAAAUGCAAGAAUCAUGGUAGCCUUCAGUGAGCUUUUGAUCUUGGUUGGUCACCCCAACAACUGCAGCUGUAGAUGAAUGUGUUUUUAUGUGCCUGGUUUCAGUGUUCAAAGGGAAAAAUAAACAUGUACAGUGAACACUUUAAACCACUUUGGAUGAAAGUUUUGUCAUGUUCCAGACUAUUUUCAAUCAACCUGGUCCACCGAGGAUUAGUGACCAGGUUUUCAGGAAAGGAUUAGUUUCUCUCUAGUAAAUGUCUGAAAGAUUUUAUUUUCUGAUAAAAGGCUGUUUGAAAAUACCCUCCUGAAAUAACUUGCUUAACUACAUAUAGAUUCAAGUGUGUCAAUAUUCUAUUUUGUAUAUUAAACAAAUGCUAUAUAAUGGGGACAAAUUAUAUUAUACUGUGUAUGGCAUUAUUAAGAAGC
RNAcentral lists this long non-coding RNA (1244 nucleotides) under Heterocephalus glaber (naked mole-rat). RNAcentral describes it as "lncRNA (ENSHGLG00100036881.1)". The record is from RNAcentral. Lineage: Eukaryota; Metazoa; Chordata; Mammalia; Rodentia; Bathyergidae.